This 275-nucleotide long non-coding RNA is filed under the name Ricinus communis (castor bean). RNAcentral's name for it is "long non-coding RNA (RCOM_LNC003238)". Lineage: Eukaryota; Viridiplantae; Streptophyta; Magnoliopsida; Malpighiales; Euphorbiaceae. The record is from RNAcentral.
ACAUUUCUUCCCAUAUCUUCAAUACCAUGAAGAUAAACAAGAGAAAGGUGAUAAGCAUUUGGAAGGAGGUGAAUUGUUGGUCCAUCAUGAAAAUUACUUGGUGCUAAAGUGAAAGAGAGAUUUGUAGGCUGAUUGCGGGGUUUGCAUUUGAUUUCAUCCAAUUAUAUAUACUACAAAUUCUGGCUUUUGUUAAAUCAUAGAUGAAGUAUUAUUCAAACUUAGACUAAUCGCAUAAGGUAACAUAUCAACAUUGGACAACAAUUUUUAUAACAUCG